This 254-nucleotide ribosomal RNA is filed under the name uncultured bacterium. Its description in RNAcentral is "partial 16S ribosomal RNA". It matches the Rfam family "Bacterial small subunit ribosomal RNA", at positions 524 to 776 of the family's 1533-position model. The record is from RNAcentral.
UACGGGGGGAGCAAGCGUUGUUCGGAUUUACUGGGCGUAAAGGGCGCGUAGGCGGCCAGCGCAAGUCGGUUGUGAAAUCUCCGGGCUUAACUCGGAAAGGUCAACCGAUACUGCGCGGCUAGAGUGCAGAAGGGGCAACUGGAAUUCUCGGUGUAGCGGUGAAAUGCGUAGAUAUCGAGAGGAACACCUGCGGCGAAGGCGGGUUGCUGGGCUGACACUGACGCUGAGGCGCGAAAGCGUGGGGAGCGAUCCGG